UUGACCUCAAAUCGGGUGAGACUACCCGCUGAACUUAAGCAUAUCAAUAAGCGGAGGAAAAGAAACUAACAAGGAUUCCCCUAGUAACUGCGAGUGAAGCGGGAAAAGCUCAAAUUUAAAAUCUGGCGGUCUUUGGCCGUCCGAGUUGUAAUUUAGAGAAGCGUCUUCCGCGCCGGACCGUGCACAAGUCUCCUGGAAUGGAGCGUCAUAGAGGGUGAGAAUCCCGUCUUUGGCACGGAUGCCCGGUGCUUCUGUGAUGCGCUCUCGAAGAGUCGAGUUGUUUGGGAAUGCAGCUCAAAAUGGGUGGUGAACUCCAUCUAAAGCUAAAUAUUGGCGAGAGACCGAUAGCGAACAAGUACCGUGAGGGAAAGAUGAAAAGCACUUUGGAAAGAGAGUGAAACAGUACGUGAAAUUGUUGAAAGGGAAACGCUUGAAGUCAGUCGCGUCGACCGAGACUCAGCCUUGCCUCGGCUUGGUGUACUUCUCGGCCCGACGGGUCAGCGUCAAUUUUGCCCCUCGGAUAAUGGCAAGGGAAAGGUGGCACCUUUNCGGGUGUGUUAUAGUCUCCUGUCGCAUGCGAGGGGUGGGAUUGAGGAACUCAGCGCGCACCUUGGUGUCGGGGCUUCUGCCCACGUCACGCGCUUAGGAUG
This 650-nucleotide ribosomal RNA is filed under the name Lactarius pseudomucidus. RNAcentral's name for it is "eukaryotic LSU rRNA". It matches the Rfam family "Eukaryotic large subunit ribosomal RNA", at positions 1 to 625 of the family's 3401-position model. Lineage: Eukaryota; Fungi; Basidiomycota; Agaricomycetes; Russulales; Russulaceae. The record is from RNAcentral.